Molecule: transfer RNA, 76 nt
Filed under: Serratia liquefaciens
Lineage: Bacteria; Pseudomonadati; Pseudomonadota; Gammaproteobacteria; Enterobacterales; Yersiniaceae
Description: tRNA-Gly(gcc)
Source: RNAcentral
UGCGGCUGUGCAACUCGGUUUUGCGCGUGUUGGUCUGCCAUGCCAACGGGUGCUGUUCCAGUUCGGCAAUCAGCAC